UACGUAGGGUGCAAGCGUUGCCCGGAUUUAUUGGGCGUAAAGGGCGCGUAGGCGGGAUGGCAAGUCGGUCGUGAAAUCCCUCGGCUCAACCGAGGAACGUCGAUCGAUACUGCUGUUCUUGAGGAUUGCAGAGGAGACUGGAAUUCCCGGUGUAGCGGUGAAAUGUGUAGAGAUCGGGAGGAACACCGGUGGCGAAGGCGGGUCUCUGGGCAAUUCCUGACGCUGAGGCGCGACAGCGUGGGGAGCAAACAGG
Molecule: ribosomal RNA, 253 nt
Filed under: uncultured bacterium
Lineage: Bacteria
Description: partial 16S ribosomal RNA
Rfam family: Bacterial small subunit ribosomal RNA
Source: RNAcentral